Long non-coding RNA from Homo sapiens (human), 498 nucleotides. Ensembl annotates it as HOXA11 antisense RNA. Its record names the gene HOXA11-AS. The record is from Ensembl. Lineage: Eukaryota; Metazoa; Chordata; Mammalia; Primates; Hominidae.
CGUCACUCGGUGUUCUCACCGAAAGCACGUAAUCGCCGGUGUAACUCAUGUUGGCUGGGGGGCCUCCCGGCGCGCGCGGAGAGGCUGGGGUGCGCCCCCAUGCAGCAUGCUUGUGCUCAAUUGCAGGGUCCUCGUUCUCGAGUGUGCAGAGGGCGGUGAGAGCUCAACUCUCGUCCCCACCUCCCACCCGCAGCUCCCCGGGAGGUCCAACAGCCGAGCUUAGCCCACCGGGCUCUGGGAAAGACCCGACUGAGGCUAAAGCCGCCCCGGAAGGCCAAGUCCGAGUUCCAUUUCUUGAAGAGGCCGGCGCGCGUAAGGCUGUGACAUUGGCCCUGGCGACUGGCUUCCCAGGAGCUGUUCUUUCUCAGGAGCUCCACAGCGCGGGCCAUCUCCAGAAAACUGUCUUCAGAGUGUAUUUCCUUUUAUCGUCAACCCAGAGCCCCACCGCGGCUAAUGCAAGAGGCCAAAAAAUGUUUGGAGGAAGAAAAACAAAGGCAG